GAUGAAGAACGUAGCGAAAUGCGAUACUUGGUGUGAAUUGCAGAAUCCCGUGAACCAUCGAGUCUUUGAACGCAAGUUGCGCCCGAAGCCAUUAGGCCGAGGGCACGCCUGCCUGGGCGUCACACGUCGUUGCCCCCCCAUCUACUCCUUCGGGAUUGCGGGGGGCGGAUGAUGGCCUCCCGUGCGCCUCGUCGCGCGGUUGGCAUAAAUGCCAAGUCCUCGGCGACGCACGCCACGACAUUCGGUGGUUGCGAAACCUCGGAUGCCCGUCGUGUGCGGUCGUCGCGCAUCGAGGGCUCGAAAAAAUUGCCGGGCUCCGGCUCGGCUUUCAACGCGACCCCAGGUCAGGCGGGGUUACCCGCUGAAUUUAAGCAUAUCAAUAAGCGGAGGA
Molecule: unclassified non-coding RNA, 391 nt
Filed under: soil metagenome
Description: partial contains 5.8S ribosomal RNA, internal transcribed spacer 2, and large subunit ribosomal RNA
Rfam family: 5.8S ribosomal RNA (bases 1-122)
Source: RNAcentral